GGCAAAGGUUAGGUCUUCACGGCUCUUGAUCUGUGCUUGAUCUAGCUUGGAGAUACUGUGAAUCUUCUGUGUGUGAGAGCAAACCAGUUCAUGACACCAAGAACCCCAGAGGAGAUCCGAAUUUCCCGGGUUUGAUGUCUCUGCUGGCACUCUGAAAUUUUUUUGCAAUAUUGACAGCUUAUAACUUCCCAAGAAGUGGGGAUCCUGCAUGAAUCCCUUCCCCCUCCAUGACAGAAUGCGUGUCACCCAGUUCUGUGCAGGCAGUCUGGUCCAGAGUGCAAAGGCCGUGUGUUGCCGGGAAGACAACAUUCCAUAGCACACCUCCCUUCCCCCAGCUCUUAUGUUCAUCUCCAUAAACACAAUUCUUACAGAUCUCUUAAGCUGAGCGAUCCUGACCUCGUGACCUUCGCUGCAAGAUCCCUUCCUGCCCUGGACAUGCCCCUGCCCCCAUCCCAACCCAAAUUCCUCAUCCAGGGGCUAUAUAAGCCACA
Microtus oregoni (creeping vole) is the source of this 491-nucleotide long non-coding RNA. RefSeq lists it as uncharacterized. NCBI's taxonomy places the organism in Eukaryota, Metazoa, Chordata, Mammalia, Rodentia, Cricetidae. The transcript has 4 exons. The record is from RefSeq and is a predicted model, not a curated record.